UCGUAUGAGCGAGGACAAUUACUAUCCUCCCGUCAAUACAGGGCACAUCAGGCUUUCGUAAGGGACAAUUGAUUCGGGCAAAAAGGGACAAAGUCCCCGACCGAUCUUUUGCUUCUACAUACAAGACUUCGAGCAACCCUUGGGCGUCCAAUGCCUGCUAGCUAAAUAAGAAAAGCAAGAGCGAACGUACAUGGGUGCUAAAUGGUCUACGUCGCACAAAACCUUUUAGCACGAGAUAGAGUAUGGAUCGUGGGACUAGAGCAUUCCGUCAAAAUAGGUAUGCUGCACAGGGGGCCAAGGCAGUCCAAGGUAAAAGAUUUAGCACUCAAACAGAAUUGAACAGGUGUGAACUAGCGAUUAUCGCUGCCAGGGCAGGGAACCAACCAACCGGAACAUACC
RNAcentral lists this unclassified non-coding RNA (399 nucleotides) under Heracleum afghanicum. RNAcentral's name for it is "partial external transcribed spacer". The record is from RNAcentral. Lineage: Eukaryota; Viridiplantae; Streptophyta; Magnoliopsida; Apiales; Apiaceae.